UACAGAGGGGGCAAGCGUUGUUCGGAAUUACUGGGCGUAAAGGGCGGGUAGGCGGUCUGCUAAGUCGAACGUGAAAUCCCCGGGCUCAACCCGGGAACUGCGUCCGAUACUGGCAGGCUUGAAUCCGGGAGAGGGAUGCGGAAUUCCAGGUGUAGCGGUGAAAUGCGUAGAUAUCUGGAGGAACACCGGUGGCGAAGGCGGCAUCCUGGACCGGCAUUGACGCUGAGGCGCGAAAGCCAGGGGAGCAAACGGG
This 253-nucleotide ribosomal RNA is filed under the name uncultured bacterium. RNAcentral describes it as "partial 16S ribosomal RNA". It matches the Rfam family "Bacterial small subunit ribosomal RNA", at positions 524 to 776 of the family's 1533-position model. The record is from RNAcentral.